RNAcentral lists this long non-coding RNA (476 nucleotides) under Panax ginseng (ginseng). RNAcentral describes it as "long non-coding RNA (PGIN_LNC000146)". The record is from RNAcentral. Lineage: Eukaryota; Viridiplantae; Streptophyta; Magnoliopsida; Apiales; Araliaceae.
UCAUCCCCCAUACCCCAUCCCCUUCCCAAGAAAAUCCCCCUCCCUUUCUUAACGGCGGAUGUUUUGGAAUCCUUCUCGAAAAUUAUUUUUUUCCCGAUCUAUGGUGGCAUAGUCCGGGGGCCUUAGAUCGUAGGUUUUAUUUAUAUUGAUUAGUAGGGGCACUGAUUUGAGUGGGUUUUGGACCUUGGAUUAUGAUCUGCAGAGGGUUUUGUUUGGUGCUAAGGCUUGGAGUCUCUGAUCUGAAUGUGUUGUUUCCUACUUCCGCUGGGAUGGGGAUGUUUUGAUGGUGGGUUUGGAUUUGGGUUUCGUUCCUGGAUGGUUCGUCUUUCCGAUCUGACAUUUUGUUUUAUUGAUGAUCUUUACUUAUGUUCCCUUGCCGGUGUUUUCACUUGUUCCCUUGCCGGUGUUUUCACAUCCAAAGUCAUUUGUGUUUUUCAUCAUUUUAAGAUAUGAUUUGCCGGUGGCUUUGCCGGAGC